AAGACUAUAGACCUGCGGAGUACCUGCGGAAGGAUCAUUAACGUUGGGGACUAACAAUCCCUCAGCGAGAUAGAACCCUUGCCUUUUCGAGUACCACACGUUUCCUCGGCAGGUACGCCUGCCAAUGGGGACCACAACAAAACCUUUUGUAAUAGCAGUAAACGUCUUAGAAACAAAACUUUUAAAACUUUCAACAACGGAUCUCU
Molecule: unclassified non-coding RNA, 206 nt
Filed under: soil metagenome
Description: partial contains 5.8S ribosomal RNA, internal transcribed spacer 2, and large subunit ribosomal RNA
Source: RNAcentral